This 253-nucleotide ribosomal RNA is filed under the name uncultured bacterium. Its description in RNAcentral is "partial 16S ribosomal RNA". It matches the Rfam family "Bacterial small subunit ribosomal RNA", at positions 524 to 776 of the family's 1533-position model. The record is from RNAcentral.
GACGAACCGUGCGAACGUUAUUCGGAAUCACUGGGCUUAAAGGGUGCGUAGGCGGGUUCACAAGUCCGGGGUGAAAUCUCAUGGCCCAACCAUGAAAGUGCCUUGGAUACUGUGGACCUCGAGGGGGAUAGGGGCGUGCGGAACUCAGGGUGGAGCGGUGAAAUGCGUAGAUAUCCUGAGGAACACCGGUGGCGAAAGCGGCGCGCUAGGUCCCUUCUGACGCUGAGGCACGAAAGCCAGGGGAGCAAACGGG